Dendrothele bispora CBS 962.96 is the source of this 103-nucleotide non-coding RNA. Lineage: Eukaryota; Fungi; Basidiomycota; Agaricomycetes; Agaricales. The record is from the annotation of a GenBank genome assembly.
GGCGAGAUGGCCGAGCGGUCUAAGGCGCCAGACUAAGGUCCAGGACGAGAACGUCCAAAUAAUCUGGUCCGAAAGGGCGUGGGUUCGAAUCCCACUCUCGUCA